GAUGAACGCUGGCGGCGUGCUUAACACAUGCAAGUCGAACGAUGAAGCCCAGCUUGCUGGGUGGAUUAGUGGCGAACGGGUGAGUAACACGUGAGUAACCUGCCCUUGACUCUGGGAUAAGCCUGGGAAACUGGGUCUAAUACUGGAUAUGACUUCUCAUCGCAUGGUGGGGGGUGGAAAGAUUUAUUGGUCUUGGAUGGACUCGCGGCCUAUCAGCUUGUUGGUGAGGUAAUGGCUCACCAAGGCGACGACGGGUAGCCGGCCUGAGAGGGUGACCGGCCACACGGGGACUGAGACACGGCCCAGACUCCUACGGGAGGCAGCAGUGGGGAAUAUUGCACAAUGGGCGCAAGCCUGAUGCAGCGACGCCGCGUGAGGGAUGACGGCCUUCGGGUUGUAAACCUCUUUCAGUAGGGAAGAAGCGAGAGUGACGGUACCUGCAGAAGAAGCGCCGGCUAACUACGU
RNAcentral lists this ribosomal RNA (465 nucleotides) under uncultured bacterium. RNAcentral describes it as "partial 16S ribosomal RNA". It matches the Rfam family "Bacterial small subunit ribosomal RNA", at positions 28 to 506 of the family's 1533-position model. The record is from RNAcentral.